GGGCCCGCACAAGCGGUGGAGCAUGUGGUUUAAUUCGACGCAACGCGAAGAACCUUACCUGGGUUAGACAACGGUGGACCGCUCCAGAGAUGGAGUUUUCCCUUCGGGGACUGCCGGUUCAGGUGCUGCAUGGCUGUCGUCAGCUCGUGUCGUGAGAUGUUGGGUUAAGUCCCGCAACGAGCGCAACCCUUGUCUCUAGUUGCCAGCAUUUAGUUGGGCACUCUAGAGAGACUGCCGGCGUUAAGCCGGAGGAAGGUGGGGAUGACGUCAAGUCCUCAUGGCCCUUAUGCCCAGGGCUACACACGUGCUACAAUGGUCGGUACAGAGGGCUGCGAAGCCGUAAGGUGAAGCCAAUCCCACAAAGCCGGCCUCAGUUCGGAUUGGAGUCUGCAACUCGACUCCAUGAAGGUGGAAUCGCUAGUAAUCGCGGAUCAGCACGCCGCGGUGAAUACGUUCCCGGGCCUU
RNAcentral lists this ribosomal RNA (465 nucleotides) under uncultured bacterium. RNAcentral describes it as "bacterial SSU rRNA". It matches the Rfam family "Bacterial small subunit ribosomal RNA", at positions 917 to 1382 of the family's 1533-position model. The record is from RNAcentral.